This 1336-nucleotide ribosomal RNA is filed under the name uncultured prokaryote. RNAcentral describes it as "partial 16S ribosomal RNA". It matches the Rfam family "Bacterial small subunit ribosomal RNA", at positions 72 to 1437 of the family's 1533-position model. The record is from RNAcentral.
GACUUCGGUCUCUAGCGGCGGACGGGUGAGUAACACGUGGGUAACCUGCCUCAAAGAGGGGGAUAGCCUCCCGAAAGGGAGAUUAAUACCGCAUAACAUUAAGCUAUCGCAUGGUAGUUUAAUCAAAGGAGCAAUCCGCUAUGAGAUGGACCCGCGGCGCAUUAGCUAGUUGGUGAGGUAAAGGCUCACCAAGGCGACGAUGCGUAGCCGACCUGAGAGGGUGAUCGGCCACAUUGGAACUGAGACACGGUCCAGACUCCUACGGGAGGCAGCAGUGGGGAAUAUUGCACAAUGGGCGAAAGCCUGAUGCAGCAACGCCGCGUGAGUGAAGAAGGCCUUCGGGUUGUAAAGCUCUGUCUUUUGGGACGAUAAUGACGGUACCAAAGGAGGAAGCCACGGCUAACUACGUGCCAGCAGCCGCGGUAAUACGUAGGUGGCAAGCGUUGUCCGGAUUUACUGGGCGUAAAGGAUGCGUAGGUGGAUAUUUAAGUGGGAUGUGAAAUACCCGGGCUCAACUCGGGUGCUGCAUUCCAAACUGGAUAUCUAGAGUGCAGGAGAGGUAAGUGGAAUUCCUAGUGUAGCGGUGAAAUGCGUAGAGAUUAGGAAGAACACCAGUGGCGAAGGCGACUUACUGGACUGUAACUGACACUGAGGCAUGAAAGCGUGGGGAGCAAACAGGAUUAGAUACCCUGGUAGUCCACGCCGUAAACGAUGAGUACUAGGUGUGGGAGGUAUCGACCCCUUCCGUGCCGCAGUUAACACAAUAAGUAUCCCGCCUGGGGAGUACGGCCGCAAGGCUAAAACUCAAAGGAAUUGACGGGGGCCCGCCCAAGCGGCGGAGCAUGUGGCUUAAUUCGACGCAACGCGAAGAACCUUACCUAGACUUGACAUCUCCUGAAUUACCCGUAACUGGGGAAGUCCUUCGGGACAGGAAGACAGGUGGUGCAUGGUUGUCGUCAGCUCGUGUCGUGAGAUGUUGGGUUAAGUCCCGCAACGAGCGCAACCCUUAUUGUUAGUUGCUACCAUUUAGUUGAGCACUCUAGCGAGACUGCCCGGGUUAACCGGGAGGAAGGUGGGGAUGACGUCAAAUCAUCAUGCCCCUUAUGUCUAGGGCUACACACGUGCUACAAUGGUCGGUACAAUGAGAUGCAACCUCGCGAGAGUGAGCAAAACUAUAAAACCGAUCUCAGUUCGGAUUGUAGGCUGAAACUCGCCUACAUGAAGCUGGAGUUACUAGUAAUCGCGAAUCAGAAUGUCGCGGUGAAUACGUUCCCGGGCCUUGUACACACCGCCCGUCACACCAUGAGAGUUGGCAAUACCCAAAGUCCGUGAGGUA